AGAUGCCCUGCACGGAGCCUCCUGAGAUAGGUCUGGCUGAGGUGUCAUAUGCCUGCCUCUAGAGUGGGUUCUGCCAGCGCAGGUGGCCUGGUGGCUCAUGGCAAGCCCUUGACAUUUUUUUUAAGAGCCACUAAGGCCCCGAUGUGGAAUUUACAAAGCUUACAGCUGUUCUAGAAUCUUGUUUCCCGCCGCCGCCCUUGAGUCGGGACACGGCGGGUAUAGUAUAUAAAGAAGGCCGCUGCAGGAAGAAAAGCCUCUCCAAACCAUCUUACCCACAUUGCAAGCUGUGCCACCGGCCAUGAAUGGCAGCCAGUGCUAAUGUCCAAUGUUAGAUACUGUUCUCACUGGUGCCAUGGGACACCUGGCAUGGACAGCUGAAGGGAAUAUCAGGAAGUGCAGUCUAUCAUGGCAGCCCCGUAAUGUCUAUGGCCAGAUGGCUUUUUCUCUUUGUGUGGACCAGGACACAGAGAGCUCAGCAGGACGUGGACAAGGCUAUAGCCACCCCGACCCUGGCCCACUCAUUUGAGCCACUUACUCUAGCUAGGUCCCACUCCCUAAAGGCGCCACAACCCACCGAGUCAGCACACAAGCUGGGAACCAAUUAUUCAAAGACAGGGGCUGUGAGAGGUGUUUUAUAUGCAGAUCUUAACAUGAAGUCCUGUGGGCUUCGAAGAGUCCGUGUGUUCUCAAACCUGAGUUCAAGGAUCCAUUUCCUUAGAAAAGGAAAAUUCAAAUCUAUCUCAAUGAAUGCAGGUUCCAUCCUAUAAAUCCUCUUCUGCCAGUUGCCAUUGUAUCAACAUAAAAAGAUAUGUACAAUUUAAAUAUAUUUAUAACUGUUAUGCAAAAAUAUGUACUGAGUACCUAUCUAUAAUGGCAGUUAUAUUUUAUUACAGGCACACACAUGCUGUCAUCUAAAUGUCAAUAAAAUAUUUACAAUACAACCAUGAAAACCUGUUGUUUUAUGAGAUCCACAGUUGUAAAUAGUGCAGUACAAUAAAACCAAAAUAACAAUAUAGCCAAAUGUAAGUUUACGUGUAAGCAAAAAAUGAAUGAUUGGCUUAGAUAUUGGAGUACAGUCCUAUGACCAGAAAAGAUGUCAUUAGGAAUUUUGGCUAUCGAACACAGGAAUACUGCACUCAGACAUCAGCAAUACUUGUUCAACACAUAAGUAAAACAAUGAAACAGCUUUUUUUAAAAAAAAGAUUUAUUUAUUUUAUUUAUAUAAGUACACUGUCCCUGUCUUCAGUCACACCAGAAGAGGAGGGCAUCCGAUCCCAUUACAGAUCGUUGGGCCACCAUGUAGUUGCUGAGAAUUGAACUCAGGACCUCCAGAAGAGCGUUCAGUGCUCUUAACCACUGAGCCAUCUCUCCAGCCCCAAUGAAAUAGCUUUUAAAAUGUUUAUUUGUUUGUUUGUUCAUUCAUUCUCCAUUCAUUCACUUUUAACCCUGUAGACUAACUAAGGGCUCUUGGCAUGCUAAACAGGUGUUCUAGUACCUAGCCUUAUUCCCGGUCUCAUUAUUUUAUUUUUUAUUUUGUGAGAUAGGGUCUUAGGUAGCCUAGGCUAGCCUUGAACUCACUGUGAUGGCCUUCCACUUCUGAUUAGUCUGUGUCCACUUUUCAGGAGCCAGGGUUGCAAGUACGGACCACCAUGGCCAGAGCAUGCAGUCCUGUGGUCAUAUAUAUGUUAGGCGAGCACUCUGCUAAGUCCCCACAACAUUACACAGGAAAGGGGAAGAUGUGUGUUCAUGCUUGUUAGUUUCGUGUACCAUUUUCUGAAAGUCUUCUUGCACAGAAAAUCAAUGCUAUGUCUCACCCAACUGGAUGUAGCAUUGUUACAGGAAAAUGGAUUCAUAUAUCACCUACUAAAAUGAACACAUUUUCUUGAAACACUUGCUCAUUCCUGUGCACAAAUGCUCACGUCUUGUCCAUCACAGCUUAUCAGAGAGGAGGGAGGCUGACGCAGAGCCCUUCUGUGUCACCUUCCCUGGGCUUAGCGGGCCGUUCUACAACCUUCCUGCCUCUGUCUCUCCUGGUCACUUGUGACCACAGCAUAACCCAUUCCAUUUUGAACAAUGAUGUCUGUUUAUCGAAUUGUCCUUUAAUGAAUCUGAAUGUAUCUUCUGGGACUUCUACCCACUGAUUGUAUGUUUUGCCUACCAAAGAAACAGUUCUCCCUUCUCUUUCUGCAUAUCAAGUUAGGAAUCUCUCUCCUUCUGUGCUGAGGACAGCUCUUCUGCAUGUCUGUUUCCCGCCUGCAGUGGACAGAGGCUCCCUGUGAGUGCAGGAAUGCAGCAUAGGAAUACGGUAGAUUACAUGGUCAUCCUACCUAAACCCUGAUGCUUUCUAAACAUUCUUUCCCAACAGUCCUUGGAAGGGUUAGUCUCGGGAUCUGUUACCUUUUCUUAGCUACCGCAAAUUUCUUUUCUUUUUCUUUUUGUUUCUUUUUUUUUCUUUAAUAAAAUAUCAAACCCAGAAUUAGACACAGAUUCAAGAAAUGCUUUGACUAUAGUGGAGUGCAAAAUGCCUUCUAAUUUCCUUAUUCCAGAUGUACUGCUUUUGGCCCCAAACCAGAAACAAAACAAAACAAAAC
RNAcentral lists this long non-coding RNA (2591 nucleotides) under Mus musculus (house mouse). RNAcentral describes it as "long non-coding RNA chr2:4413770-4416361". The record is from RNAcentral. Lineage: Eukaryota; Metazoa; Chordata; Mammalia; Rodentia; Muridae.